Molecule: small RNA, 145 nt
Filed under: Arabidopsis thaliana (thale cress)
Lineage: Eukaryota; Viridiplantae; Streptophyta; Magnoliopsida; Brassicales; Brassicaceae
Description: ATSL267100
Source: RNAcentral
GAUCCGAUUGCGGUUCUCGUUCUUAAACUCAAUCAUACACAUGACAUCAAGUCAUAUUUGAUUCCAAAACACUAACCAAGCUUCUUCUUGCUUCUCAAAGCUUUGAUGGUGUAGCUGAAGUCCAUAUGAGUCUUUGGAUUUGUAU